AUACGGAGGGUGCGAGCGUUAUCCGGAUUUAUUAGGUUUAAAGGGUGUGUAGGCGGGAGCCUAAGUCAGUGGUGAAAUCUCACAGCUUAACUGUGAAACUGCCAUUGAAACUGGGUUUCUUGAGUAUAGUUGAGGUAGGCGGAGUGUGUAAUGUAGCGGUGAAAUGCAUAGAUAUUACACAGAACACCGAUUGCGAAGGCAGCUUACUAAGCUAUUACUGACGCUGAUGCACGAAAGCGUGGGUAGCGAACAGGAUUAGAUACCCGUGUAGUCC
This 274-nucleotide ribosomal RNA is filed under the name uncultured bacterium. Its description in RNAcentral is "partial 16S ribosomal RNA". It matches the Rfam family "Bacterial small subunit ribosomal RNA", at positions 523 to 796 of the family's 1533-position model. The record is from RNAcentral.